RNAcentral lists this ribosomal RNA (321 nucleotides) under uncultured eukaryote. RNAcentral describes it as "partial 18S ribosomal RNA". It matches the Rfam family "Eukaryotic small subunit ribosomal RNA", at positions 1470 to 1796 of the family's 1831-position model. The record is from RNAcentral.
CCCUUAGAUGUUCUGGGCCGCACGCGCGCUACACUGAUGAACGCAACGAGACCACCUGUACCGAAAGGCAUGGGUAAACUUGUGAAAGUUCAUCGUGAUGGGGAUAGAUUAUUGCAAUUAUUAAUCUUCAACGAGGAAUUCCUAGUAAGCGCGAGUCAUCAGCUCGCGUUGAUUACGUCCCUGCCCUUUGUACACACCGCCCGUCGCUCCUACCGAUUGAAUGGUCCGGUGAAAUCUUCGGGUUGCUGGAUAGGACUUCAUUGACCUAUCUGCGAGAAGUUGCUUGAACCUUAUCAUUUAGAGGAAGGAGAAGUCGUAACA